This 499-nucleotide ribosomal RNA is filed under the name uncultured bacterium. Its description in RNAcentral is "partial 16S ribosomal RNA". It matches the Rfam family "Bacterial small subunit ribosomal RNA", at positions 28 to 507 of the family's 1533-position model. The record is from RNAcentral.
GACGAACGCUGGCGGCGUGCCUAAUACAUGCAAGUCGAGCGAAGUUUUUCUGGUGCUUGCACCGGAAAAACUUAGCGGCGCACGGGUGAGUAACACGUAAAGAACCUGCCUCAUAGACUGGGACAACUAUUGGAAACGAUAGCUAAUACCGGAUAACAGCAUUAACUGCAUGGUUGAUGUUUAAAAGUUGGUUUUGCUAACACUAUGAGAUGGCUUUGCGGUGCAUUAGCUAGUUGGUGGGGUAAAGGCCUACCAAGGCGACGAUGCAUAGCCGACCUGAGAGGGUGAUCGGCCACACUGGGACUGAGACACGGCCCAGACUCCUGCGGGAGGCAGCAGUAGGGAAUCUUCCGCAAUGGGCGAAAGCCUGACGGAGCAACGCCGCGUGAGUGAAGAAGGAUUUCGGUUCGUAAAGCUCUGUUGUUAGGGAAGAAUGAUUGUGUAGUAACUAUACACAGUAGAGACGGUACCUAACCAGAAAGCCACGGCUAACUACGUG